Molecule: long non-coding RNA, 5567 nt
Filed under: Musa acuminata (dwarf banana)
Lineage: Eukaryota; Viridiplantae; Streptophyta; Magnoliopsida; Zingiberales; Musaceae
Description: long non-coding RNA (MACU_LNC009513)
Source: RNAcentral
GAACUCGCCAAGAUCAAAUCGUGAAGUCUAGAAGCUUGCCGGGAGUCCGCAGAAUGGUUUCCGAGAGUUUAUCGGAAGACCGCCGGAAGUUCGCCGGAAGCUCGCCGAAAGAAGUCUUGACUUACGGACUUUGUAAUAGCUUAGAAAAUGUCUUUAAAUUCGUAGUUAGCACGUUAAUUAGGGCUAGGAUUAGGUGUUAAUCCUAUGACCAAAGUAGGGGCCAAUUGGGCCCGAGUUCGGACUGGUUUGGGCCAAUUUUGGAGCCCAACCAGUGAGCUGAAAUAGUGUAGGCGGUGGCACCGCCUAGACUAGGCGGUGGCACCGCCCAGAGGCCGAGAGAUCAGGCGGUGGUACUGCCGGACUAGGCGGUGGCACCGCCAAACACCCGAGAAGUCAGGCGGUGGCACCACCAGUGCAACGGUCAACUGGCGGUGGCACCGCCAGCCUCGGGAACUCAAGGGAAUUCAAAUUUUAGAGAUCAAAUUUGAAUCCUCUUGGGGUCUAUAAAUAACCCCCAAUUCUCAGCAGAGAAUACAACCUUUUGAGAAGUUAGAGAUUGAGAUAAAGCCUUAGCAAAGUCUUUAGCAAGUCUUGUUUUCAAUAGUUUAAGUGUUCACCUCCCUCAUUCUCUUUGAAAAUCUGUAAGAGUGUGAACCACUUGUAAAUGAUUGUAAAAGGGGUGUAAGAAGGAGGUUGAUGUUCGCCUAGUAAAGGAAGAUCAUUAGUGGAUGCCGGUGGCCUCGACGGAAGAGGAAUCAGAGGAGUGGAUGUAGGUCACGAUUAACCGAACCACUAUAAACUACCGUCUUCUCUGGUUUGCAUUUACUUCCUGCUAUUACCUUACUGCAAACCCUUUCAAUAGCUUACUGCCUUCAAGUUAAAACGCAAUUGAAACGGUUUCAAACGAAACGUUGCUUUUAUCAUAUGAAGUUUCCGAAAGUGUUUAAAUCAUCGAAAGUUUAUCAUACUUUACCGUUGAACUAAUUCACCCCCCCCCUCUUAGUGCCGCUCCGGUCCUAACAAUUGGUAUCAGAGCCCGGUAUUUCUCAUUUCGGAUUUACACCCGAGAGAAAUGGCUCUUCAUGGCUUUCAAGAGGGCUUAUCGGUUGUUCGUCCACCGUUGUUUAACGGAUUGGACUACACUUAUUGGAAAACUCGAAUGAGAGUUUUCUUGAUUUCUAUGAAUUUGGAUUUAUGGAAUAUUGUUGAAAAUGGUUUUCAACUUCCCUCUAGACCGAUUAACGAAUGGUCGGAUUUGGAGAAGAAUUAUUUUUCUUUAAACGCAAAGGCUAUGAAUGCCUUAUUUUGAGCUUUGGACAAAAAUGAGUUCAAUCGGAUUUCAACGUGUGAAACGACUUUUGAUAUUUGGCGAACACUUGAAAUCACGCACGAGACAACUAGCAGAGUCAAAGACUCGAAAGUUAACAUUCUAUUGCAUGAUUUUGAGCUUUUUCGAAUGCAACCAAGCGAGACUAUAGGCGACAUGUACACUCGUUUCAUGGAUGUCGUCAAUAAUCUAAGAGUUCUUGGUAAAUCUUUUUCAAAUUUUGAUCUCGUAAGCAAGAUCUUAAGAUCCCUUCCAAAAAGGUGGGAUCCUAAAAUAACCGCAAUACAAGAAACAAAAGAUUUAAAUAUUUUUCCACUUGAAGAACUAAUUGGUUCAUUGAUGACAUAUGAAAUGGUGCACAAUGAACAUGAUGAACAUGAUGAACAAAAUCACCUUCCAAAGAACAGGAAGGAUUUGGAACUCCGGACAAAUGAAUAUCACUUGAGCAAUGACUCAAGUGAUGAGGACAAUGAUGAACUUGAACUUCGAACACUAAAUCUUAAUAAGUUCAUUAAACAAAAAUCUAAAAUAAAUAAUGAACUUGAACGGAGGAAGAGGCCAAAGAAGAGGGAGGCAACCAAGGAUGAAUCAAGAAAUUCUAAAGGUGAAACGGCGAAUUGGGCUUUGACAAGCUUCGACUACAAGGUAAGUAACUCAACUCUCUUGAAUUAUUUUGAAAUUACAUAAUACUUUUCAUGAGUUAUUUUUAAUUUAGUUUAGGAUUAAUUUUCUUAAAAAUUACAUGAAAAUAAAAAAUCUGAAAUCAUGCUUAUCAUUCUAGUAAUUUUGAAAAUAAUCAUGAAAAUUGUAUGUUUAUGAUAAACAAAAUGAUUUUGAUUGAAAAUGUCUUAUGAAAUAUGAUAUCAUGCCUAAUAAAUUUAUUUUUUGAAGCUAUGCAAUGAUGAGUUUUGGGUAAUUUAUAGUUUAUUGAUUAUAGAUGAUUUCCAUAAUGAUCUUUUACGAUUUAUGGAUUAUCGAUUUAUACCAUGAUGAAAGUUGCUUUCGAAAAUGAUACACGGCUUUUGUAUGCAAACUAAGCAUGAAAAGAUAGAUUCACCUAAAAAGAAAAAUGUAUGCCUACAACAAAUAACACAUGAUUUUGGUUGAAAAUACUUUAUACUCAAUGAAACCAUCAUUGAUGAAUAUGCUUUAUGUUUAAUAGUUUCUUUGGCUUAUAUGCUCUAUCAUGAUAAAUAUUUUGAAAAUAAAUGAAAUCAUGUUUGAUUUGAAGUAAUGUAUAAUGAUCGUGCUUAAUGAUGCAUUUUUUUAUUUGACAUAAAAGUGGCUUUAAAAAAAAAAAAUAUGAUGUGUGUUUUGAUUUGAUAUAAAUGAAACAAAAUCAUAUGUUUUGAAACGAUCGAAAAGAGGAAAACAUUCUUGAAAAUUAUUUUGCUCAAUCUUAUUGAUUUUAAUGAAUCCAUUUGUAUCAUCUUUGUGAAUCUCUUAUAUUUUGAUAAUGAUUUUGAUCAUUUAAAUUUAAAUAAUUUUUUUAUUGAAAUCACGAUCUUGAUCUCUUGAAAUUUAUAACAUGAAAUCCUUUAUGAAUCAAGAUUGUUUUCUAUUUAAAGAGGAGAAUUUUCUAGAUGAAUCAUGAUUUUGAUGAUUGAAUAUUUGGUGUGCAUGAAUUGAGAUCUUGCUCUCCUACUAUUCUUUUUUCUAUUCACCAAAAGGAAGACUAAUUCUAAUAAACCAUGAUAUGCUAUAUGAAUUUUAUUGUAUUCAUGAAGUAAUAUCUCAUCACUAAUUUUUGUUUAUAUUCCUUCAUGUGAUGAAAUGAAUGUAUGAAAUACUUAUGAUAUGAUUUUUUAUACAAUUCCAUGUAUUCGUGAAAUAUUUAUCUCAUCACCCAAUUAAUUCCUCUUGAUACUCCUAAUGUGAUGAAGUGAAAUUAUGCAUGAAAUACAAAUGGGGAGAAGUUUUGAUCAUGCAUGGUAGGAUAUAAUUUGACAAAUUGAUACCAUCAUGAGAUGAAACAUUUAUGAUUUGCAAUGAUGUAUGUAAUACUUGUGCUUUCUAAUUAUGAUGUGAUUUAUUACAUAUGAUGUAAAUCAUGAUUUAAAAUACUAUGAGUUGUUGCUAAAAUGAUGUAUUAUAAAUAUUGAUUUAAUGUUUUGUAUCAUGAAUACUCUAAAUGAUGAAUGUUUGGUAUCAUAAUCAAAAUGUUGACAAAUAGUUAAAAAUUUUAGUAUCAUGUAUGAUAUCCUCAUAAUAUUGAUCGAUUUAUUCAAUAUCGUGCAUGAAUGAAUAUAAGGUUUUUGAAAAUGUGCAUAUUCUAAUUUGAAAAUAUAAUAAUGCACAAAUAAGAUUGAUACUUACCUUUGUCAUAAUCUGAAAAUUGAUAUAAGGGUAUUCCCUUCCAUUUGACAAUGACAUAGGGGGAGCAAAUUUUGCUAGCUUGCAAAUCUCAAGAGAAGCAAUGUGUGCUAAGUUACAUAUUUUGAGAAGAAAUUGCUAUAUUGAAACAUUAAUGUAGUUAUGAAUGAUGAUUUGAUAUUAUGCAUGCAAUACUUCAACUUAUGAUAAUGAUGCAUGCAAUGAUAAAAUAUUCAUGAUGAAAAAUUGUCUUGACAUUCAUAACUUGAUUAUUCAUCCUUUGUCAUUAUUUGAAAAUCGUUGUAAAAGGAAAAAGAACUACAAAACUAUAUUCUUCUUUUCUUUUUGACAAUGACAAAGGGGGAGAAAUAUUGCUAGCUCAAGAUGCAAAAUUUGGAAACUUGCACAUUGCAAAAGAAGCAAACUUGCUAACUCGCUCAUAUCGAAAGAGAAGCAAAAAGUGCUAACUUGCAUAUUUCAAGAAGCAAAAGUUGCUUUUUGAACAUCUUAAAACUGCUAUCUUGCAUGUUCUAAAAUAUUGUAAAAUGUUAUGAAGAAGGAUAUGCUAUCUUACUAUCUUAUAUAUCUAAAACUUGAUAGCUUGUAUAUUCUAAUGUGAUAUAGCACUUGCUAAAUUUUUGCUAGCUUGCAUGAUGUAGCAUUGGCUAAAUUUUUAAACUUCCAAAAUUGCAUGAUGAUAAAACCUGAUAUUAUACUUUUCAUGCAAUGAGUUGAACUUAUAUCACAAACACAAUAAUAGUAGUACUUCUCCUUUUUGUUGAUGACAAAGGGGGAGAAGUAUGUUGAUGACAUGACAUGUUAUGCAUAAGUUUAUGAUGGCAUGUUGCUUGGAUGUUUGAAUCCAAGAGUUUCUAUCAAUAUGGCAUAUUGAUAGGGGGAGUUUGUUUAAACUCCGGGAGUUAAGGUUAACUCCGUCAUCAAGUGGUUGUCAUCAUCAAAAAGGGGGAGAUUGUUGAAUCUCGUAUUUUGAUGAUGAAACCACUUGAUAUAUGUUUAUGAUUUAACUGCAUUUUGAGUGAUGCAGGUCUACUCGAUCAGGAUUAGACAGUUGACGCAGGAGGAAUUGACGUUGUGCCAGAGGAGAUCACGUCAGGGUAUUGGACGGUAGAAGGCUUCGGACGUCGGGCAUCGGGCCAAGGAGAGCGGAAUUGUGCCAAGGAUAUCGGGGUUGCAGAGGUCAACCAUCGAUUGGGCAACAAGCCGCAAGAGAGGACGAUGCGCUGAAGAAUCGGACGAAGCGCCAACCAAUGACGUGCCGGGCAACAGAAUGUCAAUUCACGUUGUAAUAAUUGUCUAGAUCGGAGUAGAGUUUUGGCUUGUGUGUGUAGGAUUAACUACGAUAACGAUGAAGACAUAAAGCGAAACAAAGUGCCGGAGUCAAGCACGAAGGAUUCGUUGGGAGUUCGAGAGUUCGACGGAAGUUCGAAGGUUCGUCGGGAAUGCUGCUGGAACUAGCCGAGAAUAAGUAGGGAGCUUGCUGAAGGGUUUUCGGAAGCUCGCCGAAAGGUACGUCGGAAGUUCGCGGAGCUUGCCGAGAAAGAUCGUAGCUUGCCGAAGAAUAUCGUUGGAACUUGCCAAGAUCAAAUCGUGAAGUCUAGAAGCUUGCCGGGAGUCCGCAGAAUGGUUUCCGAGAGUUUAUCGAAAGACCGUCGGAAGUUCGUCGGAAGCUCGCCGAAAGAAGUCUUGACUUGCGGACUUUGUAAUAGCUUAGAAAAUAUCUUUAAAUUCAUAGUUAGCAUGUUAAUUAGGGCUAGGAUUAGGUGUUAAUCCUAUGACCCAAGUAGGGGCCAAUUGGGCCCGAGUUCGGACUGGUUUGGGCCAAUUUUGGAGCCCAAUCAGUGAGCUGAAAUAGUGUAGGCGGUGGCACCGCCUAGACUAGGCGGUGGCACCGCCCAGAGGCCGAGAG